ACGCUCGACACCUACGGGAGGAGCAGUGGGGAAUAUUGCACAAUGGAGGAAACUCUGAUGCAGCGAUGCCGCGUGAGGGAAGAAGGUUUUCGGAUUGUAAACCUCUGUCUUCGGGGACGAUAAUGACGGUACCCAAGGAGGAAGCUCCGGCUAACUACGUACCAGCAGCCGCGGUAAUCUGAGCGGGCUGGCAAGGC
RNAcentral lists this ribosomal RNA (197 nucleotides) under uncultured bacterium. Its description in RNAcentral is "partial 16S ribosomal RNA". It matches the Rfam family "Bacterial small subunit ribosomal RNA", at positions 328 to 539 of the family's 1533-position model. The record is from RNAcentral.